GGUCCUAUAGCUCAGUGGGAGAGCACUUCGUUCACACCGAAGGGGUCACUGGUUCAAUCCCAGUUAGGACCA
RNAcentral lists this transfer RNA (72 nucleotides) under Corynebacterium sp. Its description in RNAcentral is "tRNA-Val". It matches the Rfam family "tRNA". From Rfam's summary of the family: Transfer RNA (tRNA) molecules are approximately 80 nucleotides in length. The record is from RNAcentral. Lineage: Bacteria; Bacillati; Actinomycetota; Actinomycetes; Mycobacteriales; Corynebacteriaceae. RNAcentral also lists the same sequence under 10 other names.